GCACAGGAACCGGGCUGGAGCACAUCUGGAGAGCUGGUGGUGCGAGAGCAUUGGUGCCCAAGCUUCUGCAAUUGAGCAGUUGUGAUGGCAGUAAGAGAGCAGCAAUACACUGACAUCAGAGCAUCGCUGGGGCACAGCUGGCAGUACGAGGGCACUGUGCAAGAGGAUUCGCUGAGGACAGCCAGAUGAGCAUCCCCAGAUUGAGGAAGAGCUCUCAGAUCCUGAAAGCUUCCUGUGGAUCGAGGUCUGGUGAUGGCAGAAGAGGAAAUAGGGGCGUUACCUUCUGCAUGAUGGACAGCUUAUGGGACAGGCAUAUUUUGACCUACAGUGCGAUGUUAAUGAGGUUGCAGUUUGGCCCAGAGCCACGUGGAUGCCCUCCCAGCUGGCAUCCCCAGGCAGCACCGUGCUGCCCUUGGUGCCGACUGCCUCCUGGACCCCAAGGACUAUGCCCUGGCUCACAGCUGGGCAGGCUCCCACUCAGAGCUGCUGCACUUGGCAGGCUCACUGGCAGCAGUACUCACCUGCACCUAAGUGAGAACACGAGCCCCAGAUGCCCACUAGACCUGGUUGGCCCUGGCAGGAGACAGGAUGGACAGGAAUGUCAGCCUUUGUCCACAGGUAGGUGCACUGUGGUCACGGUGAUGGAGAGAGUGAGGGAGGGUGUGUACAGGUUUGUAGGGUGUAUACUGGGGACGUGUUCCACACUGAGAGGGCUGAUUCAGUUGCAUAAAUGCCACUAGCCUGCUGCUUUCACAGAGAUUGCCUCCCAGAGGCGUUCUCUGGAGAGAACGUGCACAGCACAGGGUGAUGGAGAUGCUGACCAUCCCUUCCUGAGGUCAGGAUUCUCUCCUUAUCCAGCAGUGGUGCAGAUUGGGUAGCAGCAACAGCAGCAAAGUUCUCCCUGGGCUGUGCUCCUGUUCAGCCUCUAAGGUCACACUGGGCUGGGUCUGAGAGGCAGGGACCUUGCCAGGCUGGCUUGGAGAGCAGGGCUGGCAGGGCUGCACUGGGGAGGGAAUGGAGUAACCUGCAGUUGGAGAAGCUGAGGCAGGGGUCUGAAAUGCCGUGUGCCCUCUGCAGAGUUCUUCCAGGGUGCAGCAGUGUUGUGUGCAGGGCUUCAGCCCUAUUGUCAAGGGCUCUGAGUGCUGCAUGGGAAAGAAGUUCUUCUAAGGGCAAGAAUUUGUCACCGGGAGUCUUCAUGCCAGCACCAUGGCCUUCCCCUUUCCUGUGCAUCCCAUGCUUCUGCUUGUGUACUUAGCUCCUGCUUGGUCUGGUGUGGAGGUCUUUGUGGAUCAAGGGGAAGGCCUGUGAUAGUAAGAAAAUGGGUCCAUCAAAUGCAAGUGGGUUCAUUUUGGCCAUGAAGAUGUGUUGUCUUUCCUUCCAGGGCCUGCCAGGGGUCACCCCUGCUUGGUGCAACACAGGAUCUCAGGCAUUUUCUGUAAAAGCACUCUGCUAUCAUCAGCAUUAACAGCUGGAAGAUGCAAAGUGCUCUGGGAUUGCCACGAAGUGUAGUGAAAGUGUGGGAGAUGAUGAAUCUGUUCUCCAGGAGAGAGACUAUAGAGCUGCUCAUUUACCUUUGUUAGGCAGCAAGCAGAUUGUCUGGGCACAGCCAUGCCGUGGUGAAGAGUUGAAAGGCCCCAGCAGUGCCUGCUGACAGCUCCAGCUCAACAGGGGGUGGAGGAUUUCCCUGCAGCAGCCCCAAACCAUGGAUCCAGAGCAGUGCUUGUGCUGUGAACCCUGGGAUGCACUCGACUCAUGGAAUGAACCUCUGCCGUGCAAUGGUGAGGGCUUGCCAAGGUGUCUCCUGCAACUCAUUAGAAGAGAGGUAUCACAUACUUACUUCUCCCCGUCUGAUCUGUAAGAUGCCACUGCAGUGAUUACAACUUUUUUUCCUGUUUUUUUUUUUUUUUACUCAGAAUGUGUGAACGCACUCAAUUCAAGGUUAAGCUUCCCAUUAAGUCACACAAGUCUGACAAAGAGCUUAAAUGACCACGGAAAGCAAAACAGUCACCUGCCCUAGCCAAAAAACCUGAGGCCGUGCAAAUUCUCCUCCCAGUCCCUGCAGAGCAGCUCCCAGUGGUGCCGGGUUGCUUGGUGUGGGUCUGGUGGCAGCGUGGUGUCCUUGGAGCCCAUCUCAUGCUGCUCCCAUUGCCAUUCCUUGUGAGUGCUGUGCGUGUGCCAGAGGGCUGUGAAUGAGGGCUGCUGUGUGGUGUUCCAUCACAUCCACACAUCUUGGUGUCCCCAUGCUGUGAGCCUGGCCGGUGUGACCUCGGGGCUCCUCCUGAGGCAGCGCUGGUCUAAAAACACUGAUGAAAAGCUGAUUAAUCCUUGUAAGCGAGCAGCGAUAGCUUCUCUCCAGAACUGAAGAGAUUACCACUGAUUUGUCAUCCUGAUUGUUUCAAAGAGAGGUGCAAUUAGUUGCUCUAAUUUAGCUCGCUGAGUGGCAUGACAACUGAGAUGUAAUCAGGAGCUCCGCACACAGCGCAGCCACCGAUGGGUGCAGCUGUGCCCACCACCAUUUUGCACGCUGAGGGUGGGCCCAAAAUGAUGGAGCACUGUGUGCUCGAGCCCCUCCAACUGCAUCAGGCAAAGUGUGAGUGCUCGACUCUGAGAUCAGCAGGGCUUCUUAUGGGACAGGCUUUAAGCCACGGGGUUGUGGCUGAGCACCCUGGGGGAUGCUGAGCACACCUUUGCCAGGUGCAGUAAAAUUAAUACUAGCUAUAGGAGAGGGUGCACUUUGUGCUCAAGGCCCCAUCUGAGACCAGUUGUUGGUUUGGAAGAGGAGCUGAGCUGCAAAGGGAAGCGUGAGGCACCCUGUGGGCUGACACUCCAAGCAGAGGGGAGGGAACGCAGUAGUUGUAUGUCCAUUUCCAGCAGAACAAAAGAAUUCAAAAUGAACAAAAUAAAGACGAUGCUUUAAAAGUAAAAAUGGUCUCU
Long non-coding RNA from Phasianus colchicus (ring-necked pheasant), 2934 nucleotides. The record is from Ensembl. NCBI's taxonomy places the organism in Eukaryota, Metazoa, Chordata, Aves, Galliformes, Phasianidae.